This 373-nucleotide ribosomal RNA is filed under the name uncultured organism. Its description in RNAcentral is "partial 16S ribosomal RNA". It matches the Rfam family "Bacterial small subunit ribosomal RNA", at positions 527 to 896 of the family's 1533-position model. The record is from RNAcentral.
GUAGGUGGCAAGCGUUGUCCGGAAUUAUUGGGCGUAAAGCGCGCGCAGGCGGUCCUUUAAGUCUGAUGUGAAAGCCCACGGCUCAACCGUGAAGGGUCAUUGGAAACUGGGGGACUUGAGUACAGAAGAGGAAAGCGGAAUUCCAAGUGUAGCGGUGAAAUGCGUAGAGAUUUGGAGGAACACCAGUGGCGAAGGCGGCUUUCUGGUCUGUAACUGACGCUGAGGCGCGAAAGCGUGGGGAGCAAACAGGAUUAGAUACCCUGGUAGUCCACGCCGUAAACGAUGAGUGCUAAGUGUUAGGGGGUUUCCCGCCCCCUUAGUGCUGCAGCUAACGCAUUAAGCACUCCGCCUGGGGAGUACGGCCGCAAGGCUG